UUACAGCAGAUUAUGGUUUCGGGGCCCAACCUGAACGAGACCAGCAUUGUGUCAGGAGGGUAUGGGGGACUGCCGAGGGCAUCAUUUCCACCGCUGCAAUCACAGCUGAGUUGUCGACCGCGCAGUGUGUGAGGGAGGAAAGGGCUGUAGCCAUGCCUCAGGACAGGAAGUCUCUCUUCACUCUGGUGCCCAGAGUCAGGAUGUGCAGAGCCAGUAGCAGCCUUUGUUACAGCUCCCGAGUGAAAUCUCACUCAGAGCGUGGAGUCUUAAUCUCACCCAGCAAACCUGCUGCCUGUAGGAUAGCCAGUCAGGGCAGCACCUCACCAGGUACUGUGCCAAUAGCCCGGCACUACCCCCAACUUCCUAUAAAACAACCUGCCCACUUCCCCCAUUCCCUGCUCUCUCU
RNA transcript from Callorhinchus milii (elephant shark), 406 nucleotides. It is a transcript of the gene named ADP ribosylation factor interacting protein 2, with no coding region annotated. The record is from RefSeq and is marked provisional. The transcript is spliced from 3 exons. NCBI's taxonomy places the organism in Eukaryota, Metazoa, Chordata, Chondrichthyes, Chimaeriformes, Callorhinchidae.